AGGGCACCACCAGGAGUGGAGCCUGCGGCUUAAUUUGACUCAACACGGGGAAACUUACCCGGCCUGGACACUGGAAGGAUUGACAGAUUGAGAGCUCUUUCUUGAUUCGGUGGGUGGUGGUGCAUGGCCGUUCUUAGUUGGUGGAGCGAUUUGUCUGGUUAAUUCCGAUAACGAACGAGACUCUAGCCUAUUAAAUAGGCUCUCGGCUUUUAAACGCCGGGAGGACUUCUUAGAGGGACAGGUGGCGGUUCAGCCGCACGAAAGAGAGCAAUAACAGGUCUGUGAUGCCCUUUGUUGUCCGGGGCCGCACGCGCGCUACACUGGAGAGAUCAGCGUGCUUUACGUUCCUGCUCCGACCGGAGUGGGGAACCCAGUGAACCUUCUUCGUGAUUGGGAUAGAAGAUUGUAAUUAUUCUUCUUGAACGAGGAAUUCCCAGUAAAUGCGAGUCAUAAGCUCGCGUUGAUUACGUCCCUGCCCUUUGUACACACCGCCCGUCGCUACUACCGAUUGAACGAUUU
Molecule: ribosomal RNA, 519 nt
Filed under: uncultured eukaryote
Lineage: Eukaryota
Description: SSU rRNA
Rfam family: Eukaryotic small subunit ribosomal RNA
Source: RNAcentral